UUAGAAUUGGGAGCAGAAAGUC
RNAcentral lists this unclassified non-coding RNA (22 nucleotides) under Mus musculus (house mouse). RNAcentral describes it as "oocyte_clustered_small_RNA12224". Lineage: Eukaryota; Metazoa; Chordata; Mammalia; Rodentia; Muridae. The record is from RNAcentral.